Glomus cerebriforme is the source of this 74-nucleotide non-coding RNA. The record is from the annotation of a GenBank genome assembly. NCBI's taxonomy places the organism in Eukaryota, Fungi, Glomeromycota, Glomeromycetes, Glomerales, Glomeraceae.
CGCGGGGUAGAGCAGUUGGUUAGCUCGUCGGGCUCAUAAUCCGAAGGUCGUGGGUUCAAGUCCCACCCCCGUUA